GUGGGGAAUCUUAGACAAUGGGGGAAACCCUGAUCUAGCCAUGCCGCGUGAGCGAUGAAGGCCUUAGGGUUGUAAAGCUCUUUCAGCUGGGAAGAUAAUGACGGUACCAGCAGAAGAAGCCCCGGCUAACUCCGUGCCAGCAGCCGCGGUAAUACGGAGGGGGCUAGCGUUGUUCGGAAUUACUGGGCGUAAAGCGCACGUAGGCGGACUGGAAAGUCAGGGGUGAAAUCCCGGGGCUCAACCCCGGAACUGCCUUUGAAACUCCCAGUCUUGAGUUCGAGAGAGGUGAGUGGAAUUCCGAGUGUAGAGGUGAAAUUCGUAGAUAUUCGGAGGAACACCAGUGGCGAAGGCGGCUCACUGGCUCGAUACUGACGCUGAGGUGCGAAAGCGUGGGGAGCAAACAGGAUUAGAAACCCUAGUAGUCC
This 425-nucleotide ribosomal RNA is filed under the name uncultured bacterium. RNAcentral's name for it is "partial 16S ribosomal RNA". It matches the Rfam family "Bacterial small subunit ribosomal RNA", at positions 354 to 796 of the family's 1533-position model. The record is from RNAcentral.